GUGCUCUUUCAGCAGCACGUACACUAAGGGUGGACUGAUACAGAGAAGAUGAGCCCAGGCCCUGCACAUGUGUACAUGCAGAAUCUGAAGUCUACCAUUUU
Molecule: small nuclear RNA, 101 nt
Filed under: Microtus ochrogaster (prairie vole)
Lineage: Eukaryota; Metazoa; Chordata; Mammalia; Rodentia; Cricetidae
Source: RNAcentral